GUGGUACUGUUGGAGCUUUGCAAGGUAUGAUAAUAUGGGUUCAUUAUUUUGUGCCUCACACCCUUAGUGGGGUGUGAGUUGUUAAUUACAUUUUGCAAGCUCUGCUGCUGCACUUUGUACAUGUCAUGACAAAUUUUUGCUCUCAACAUAAUUGACAAAUUGAGGACUUAUGCAUUGAAUCAAAUGUGGGUUGGUUAUGGUGGAAUACUUUGAAUUAUAUGAAAUAUAGGAGAUUGUUGGUAUAUCUUUUUGCAACUUUGCUAAGUUCACACAUGCUGAUUUUGGACUAGUGAUGUACAUCAUUCAGUUCGAAAUAUAAAGGAGCUUUGGUACAUCGUGCUCAUAAAAAUUGAAGAGUUGCUACUUGCCAAUGUUAUUACACAAAGAAUAAUGUUGCAUUCAAUUGGCAAUGAAAAAUUUAAUUACUGGACAGCACGCUGAUAGAUUAUGUUCUGCUUUUUUUUAUUGAUCUAAGGAGAACCUUAAAUUUUACUUUCUUAC
Molecule: unclassified non-coding RNA, 501 nt
Filed under: Hevea brasiliensis (rubber tree)
Lineage: Eukaryota; Viridiplantae; Streptophyta; Magnoliopsida; Malpighiales; Euphorbiaceae
Source: RNAcentral